AUACGUAGGGGGCGAGCGUUGUCCGGAAUGAUUGGGCGUAAAGGGCGCGUAGGCGGCCCGGUAAGUCUGGAGUGAAAGUCCUGUUUUUAAGAUGGGAAUUGCUUUGGAUACUGUCGGGCUUGAGUGCAGGAGAGGUAAGUGGAAUUCCCAGUGUAGCGGUGAAAUGCGUAGAGAUUGGGAGGAACACCAGUGGCGAAGGCGACUUACUGGACUGUAACUGACGCUGAGGCGCGAAAGUGUGGGGAGCAAACAGGACUAGAUACCCUGGUAGUCCACACUGUAAACGAUGAAUGCUAGGUGUAGGGGGUAUCGACCCCUUCUGUGCCGCAGUCAACACAAUAAGCAUUCCGCCUGGGGAGUACGGCCGCAAGGUUGAAACUUAAAGGAAUUGACGGGG
RNAcentral lists this ribosomal RNA (397 nucleotides) under uncultured bacterium. Its description in RNAcentral is "partial 16S ribosomal RNA". It matches the Rfam family "Bacterial small subunit ribosomal RNA", at positions 523 to 918 of the family's 1533-position model. The record is from RNAcentral.